CGCAAGGGACUACCAUGGCA
Molecule: microRNA, 20 nt
Filed under: Schistosoma japonicum
Lineage: Eukaryota; Metazoa; Platyhelminthes; Trematoda; Strigeidida; Schistosomatidae
Description: sja-miR-3497
Source: miRBase by way of RNAcentral